RNAcentral lists this long non-coding RNA (1439 nucleotides) under Homo sapiens (human). RNAcentral describes it as "HSALNT0197475". Lineage: Eukaryota; Metazoa; Chordata; Mammalia; Primates; Hominidae. The record is from RNAcentral.
CUCCAUGGUCCCCUCCAGCUGUGAGGUGGGGGCAGGUGUCGGCUCCAUGGACCCCUCCAGCUGUGAGGUGGGGGCAGGUGUCGCUCCAUGGACCCCUCCAGCUGAUGAGCGACCCCCGCUGCCCAGCGACCCUCUGCUGCUGCCCUGGUUCCCCUACCCUGUCACUGACUCAAGGUCUUGGUUUCUAUAAUUAAUCCCUCUCUCUUGCAUAUAAUUUCUUCCCUUUUCAGUAUCUAUUAUUUCCCAUGUAAAAUACUAACACCCUCCACUGACCUCACAUUCCCUCCAGUUAUCCUCCCUGUAUAACGAAGCCCUCGGCAGGGCACGGCCUCACCUCCCACCUCAGCAGGGCACGGCCUCACCUCCCACCUCAGCAGGGCACGGCCUCACCUCCCAUCUCAGCAGGGCACGGCCUCACCUCCCAUCUCAGCAGGGCACGGCCUCACCUCCCAUCUCUGCAGGGCACGGCCUCACCUCCCAUCUCAGCAGGGCACGGCCUCGCCUCCCAUCUCUGCAGGGCACGGCCUCACCUCCUACCUUAGCAGGGCACGGCCUCACCUCCCACCUCAGCAGGGCACGGCCUCACCUCCCAUCUCUGCUGAGUCCACUUCAUUCAGGCUUCCGUCCCCAGCUCCCUCUGAAACCACACCUGUCCAGGUCACCAGCGAGGUCAGUGUUGCCGAACCCGGUGGCCCCCUCUUCCUGGCCUUCCCAGGGGCAGCUUCCCUGACUGACCACUCCCUCCUUCUUGAACCUUUUUUUUCACUUGGACUUGAGGACCCCGUACUCUUUCCCAUCCUUGCCCUCCCCUCAGUUCCACCUCAGGCUCCUCUGCUGAACCCUCGUCUUCCUCCAGGCCUCUAGUUCUGCAAUGCCCCAGCUCCCAGUCCUGAGCCCCUUCUCUCUUCCCACGUUCUCCCGGGUUGGUCUCCUCUAGUCUGUGGUUUGGGGCACCAUCUACACAGAUGCUUCCCUGAUUUUCCGUCAUCAGCGCCUCCUUCCCGAGCUCUAGCCUCAUAUCUUCAAUGGCUGAUUUAAUUUUUGACUUCUAUGUCCAGGUUUACCAUUUACAAAGCACAACUCUUGAUUAUUCACCAGCAAACACACUUUCCCCUGCGUUUUCUCCUCCUAGCAAAUGAUCUCACCACUGACCUGUCUGCCUGGGCCGACACCUGGGACCACCCCUGAGUCCUCAGCAUCCCCGCAGGAAACAAGCCAGUGAGAAGGACGAUUUACAUGAAAAGGCCUGACUGGAAGGGCUACUCUCAGAGAUGGGGGCAGAGAUAAGCAACAAAGGACAGAUGUUAAGGACCCAGAGACCAGCGACAGCAGGAAGUCCCCACCACCCUAGGCCAGAAGGGACCAGAGAGAAACAGAAUAUUCGGAGGCCAGGGAAGGUGGGUCUCUUCCUGGUGGGAACUGUGGUCAGGCAGUGACCA